Gasterosteus aculeatus aculeatus (three-spined stickleback) is the source of this 2294-nucleotide long non-coding RNA. NCBI's taxonomy places the organism in Eukaryota, Metazoa, Chordata, Actinopteri, Perciformes, Gasterosteidae. The record is from Ensembl.
CUUCUUCUGUCGCGUCUUGUAAAUGGUGUAACAAAUGUCUCUCCCACACAGCAGAGUCACUACCUGGCAGGUCUGGGUUAGUCAUCAUUUUAGCUUUCACACUCUCUGGUACGCCCUCCAGGACCGCCUGUCUAAACCCUUCCCUGUGCACUCCCGCAGUGCCUGGGUGAUGACCUGUGUGUUUCACCCAUGUUUCCUUACAUUCGUCCAAAUAAGCGCGCUGUGUUUUUCCCCAAAACAAAUUUCUUUCCUGCUGCGCUGAAUUGGUUUUCAUGUUUAUUUCUAUUUGUUCUAAUAAUUUUUCAUCAUAUUUUAAAUCCUUGAUUCAAGUGUUACACUUAAAAAGAAAGUAGUUCAGCGAAACUAAAAGUUGCAAUGUCUCAUCAACCUGUUAGUUGAUUUCAUAAAAUCCCCUCUACAACCCGCUUGUUCAUGUAAAGGUUUUUGGCCGACCUUUGACAGCCCAGUAAUGAUGAGCUUAUUCUUCUAAACUGAAAAGCAAAAGGACCAUUUAUCCUCUUUAUUCUUUAUAUAUCAUGGUAUUCAAGAAAUAUGCAUAAACCUAAUUAUAUCACUAAAUGAUGGCACUCAGGAUUAACUUUAUUCAACAGUAUGUGUGUGAGGAGGUAUAAAACCUUGUUGGCCUCCACCGUUGCUCCCACACAUCUUCUCACUGCUGUGACCUUUUUACUCCCAUAAAACCCCCGAUGCUUCAACAGAGAUUUAUUACGCUUAUUCUAGCCGUUGUUGCUUUAAAGACUUUAAAUCGUCUUUUUCUUUCUUCAAUGCAUGUCUACAAUUCUACUAUUUUUAAACCAAAAGCUUAGUAAUAGCUUGGAGAGCUUAAAAAAAAAGGCUCUGCAGCAGCAGACUUGUUGUUUGAGAAUCAGUCUCUCCUUUUUUUUUUUUCUACCCUCGUAUGGAGGCGGUUUUUCAGAAUUACACCGUUCUUGGUUGUGUGACGUCACGAGAGGCGCCGCCGCUCUCUCCGGGGUAGUUCAAAUAGUGCGAGGACACCGGGUUCAAAAUGUAAACAAAGGUUUUAAUUUACGUCCUUCAGAUUCAACAGAAAACAGUCAAAACAGGGAGUAACUCAGUAACUCAGGCUUCAGUCGAUCUUUGCCCGUAAAACUUAACUAAUGUCUUGUCUUUGGAGGGGAAACGGAAAACCUCUCGGUCUCUCCUGCAUUCGGGAAUCCUUCUGUCUUGGUCUGCUCUUCUGCAGCUCGUCUCUCCUCCCUCAGCGGUGUGUCUUCCGCCCUCAUGGAGGCCUCCAGGUCGUCACACCCUGGUGGGUUUCAGGCAUGAGGGGAAUGCUCUUUCGGGAUGGAGCCAUAGUAGUUACAGCCAUCGCCGGUGAACGCAUCUCCCUCCCAAGACCGAGCCUCUCGUGACAUCACAGUUGUUUUUGUCUACGGCUUUACUUUUUAUCCAACACGAAAACCAUACGGACCUGAAGUCCUCUAUUUUGUCAAUUUCUUUGUGAAGUUUCCUUUUCCCCAAACAUUCACCUUCUCACAUUUUGCUAUCAAUGUUCCUUUGAUCAGACAUUUGCUCCCAUCAUCAAGAUACUGUAUCAAGUGUAUCGUGCACUUUACACUCAAUAGCAGCACUCAACAAUUUACAGCCCAUCUGAGUUUAGGAGAAGACUCAAAAACCUACAAACAUUAAUACAGAAAUCGGACCCUAUAUACAACAAUUCUCCUUAUUUCUCAUCUCUUCAUUUUCAAUGCCUGUUUCCCCUCUUUUUAGUAAAUCAAUCUCUCCUACGGUUUUAAGUCUAAUUUCAGCUGACACUCUCAGCAGUCUAUAAUCUCUAGUCUCAGUGACGCUCUAUCUGCCAAACCAGCGCCUUUCUCACCGCGUGUCCCGUGUGCUCCACAUCAUGGUUCUUUUUCUCAGUGGUGUCUCCGCUCACCCCCACCAACACAUCCUCAGUUGGUCAUUUAUUAUUUUCCAUCGAUACCCCGGCGCUGGCUCCCAGCCGCCGUCCUCCACUUCUCCAUCAAAUUCACCUUCCAUUUAUCAGCCGUCAACCAGUUCGGAUGUAUUUUACCGGAGCAGACAGCUGUGUUCUGAAAGUUAUGUUACUCCACUCCUCCGCUCUCUUCACUGGCUACCGGUGGCCGCCCGCAUCCAGUUCAAAACAUUGGUGCUCACGUACCAUGCUGUGAAUGGAUCGGGUCCAGCUUACAUCCAGGACAUGGUCAAACCCGACAUCCCAACCCGCACUCUCCGCUCUGCAUCUGCAAAACUACUCGUCCCUCCUCACUGAGAGCAAAACACUCGACUAG